Molecule: non-coding RNA, 542 nt
Organism: Chiloscyllium plagiosum (whitespotted bambooshark)
Lineage: Eukaryota; Metazoa; Chordata; Chondrichthyes; Orectolobiformes; Hemiscylliidae
Source: RefSeq, a predicted model, not a curated record
UGCGGAAGCCCCGGCUCCGAGCUGUCAAUCACCGGCAGGUUCCCAGGACUGGAGCUGGGAAGGUGCAGUGUCCCUUUAAACCGGAGGAUCCAGGCAGAGAGAGGGAGAGGCUGCAAUUAACCGGGGGAUCCGCUCUCCAAAAUCUGGUUCAAUUCACCCCCUCAUUAAUUUUGCAAAACAAAAACAAUCCGGAAUUCUCAGGGGAUUGAAUUGAAUUCGUCUCCCUCCAGUUGCAUCCCUCUCCCUCUCUCUCUGUUGGUUGUUUUUUGGGGGGGGAGGCGGUUUGGGGUCUGUGAGUCUGGCCCUGACCCUGACCCUGACCCUGACCCUGACAGCAGCAGCAGCUGGGGGGGUGGGGGUCCAGCAGAAAUGGCCAAGGAGACGGUGCAGGUGCCGGACGAUGGCGAUUUCAGGUCGUUCCGGGAGGAGUGUCACUCGGAGAGCGGCUGGUCCCUGAAACACGACGGGUCGGGCAUCAGGGUCUGGGUGCAGAUGACCGAGGGAGACAGAGCCCUGCACAGGAUUAAGUGAAGGAUGUUCUG